GGGUCGUCACAGUUGGUAUCAGAGCCAAUUACCAGCCGAAAGUGUGAGAUGAGUCUCGGCUGAGCCAGGGUCUGGAUGACAGGCUAGCGAGACGAGUCUCACAUCGCCUGGUACUUGUGAGUCUGAGCCUGACGAGAACGUCAGGGCUUAAAGGAGGGGAGAUUGUGAGACCCCAGAUAGUCCUAUAUAUAAGAUAUAAUAAUAGGGCUAAACUCUUAACCCG
RNAcentral lists this long non-coding RNA (223 nucleotides) under Ananas comosus (pineapple). RNAcentral's name for it is "long non-coding RNA (ACOM_LNC010621)". Lineage: Eukaryota; Viridiplantae; Streptophyta; Magnoliopsida; Poales; Bromeliaceae. The record is from RNAcentral.